UCUUCCCUCUUUCUUCGUGCCUAAUACAUGCAAGUCGAGCGAACAGAUGAGGAGCUUGCUCCUCUGACGUUAGCGGCGGACGGGUGAGUAACACGUGGAUAACCUACCUAUAAGACUGGGAUAACUUCGGGAAACCGGAGCUAAUACCGGAUAAUAUAUUGAACCGCAUGGUUCAAUAGUGAAAGACGGUUUUGCUGUCACUUAUAGAUGGAUCCGCGCCGCAUUAGCUAGUUGGUAAGGUAACGGCUUACCAAGGCGACGAUGCGUAGCCGACCUGAGAGGGUGAUCGGCCACACUGGAACUGAGACACGGUCCAGACUCCUACGGGAGGCAGCAGUAGGGAAUCUUCCGCAAUGGGCGAAAGCCUGACGGAGCAACGCCGCGUGAGUGAUGAAGGUCUUCGGAUCGUAAAACUCUGUUAUUAGGGAAGAACAAAUGUGUAAGUAACUAUGCACGUCUUGACGGUACCUAAUCAGAAAGCCACGGCUAACUACGUG
This 497-nucleotide ribosomal RNA is filed under the name uncultured bacterium. Its description in RNAcentral is "partial 16S ribosomal RNA". It matches the Rfam family "Bacterial small subunit ribosomal RNA", at positions 36 to 507 of the family's 1533-position model. The record is from RNAcentral.